UGUGACGGCGUGCCUUUUGUAGAAUGAGCCAGCGAGUCGCUGGCGCGGGGCGAGGUUAACCGAAAGGGAGCCGGAGCGAAAGCGAGCCUUAACAGGGCGACUUGAGUCCCGCGCCGCGGACGCGAAGCCGGGUGAGCUAUCCGUGGGCAGGCUGAAGCGGGGGUAAGACCCCGUGGAGGGCCGAACGCACGUCGGUUGAAAACGGCGGCGAUGACCUGCGGAUAGGGGUGAAAGGCCAAUCAAACCCGGAGAUAUCUCGUUCUCCCCGAAAUAGCUUUAGGGCUAGCGUCGCGCGUUCACCGCCGGAGGUAGAGCACCGGAUGGACGAGGGGGCUUCGCCGCCUACCGAAUCCAACCGAACUCCGAAUGCCGGCGGCCCAGAGCGCGGCAGUCAGAGCAUGUGGGCUAAGCUGUGUGCUCGAGAGGGAAACAGCCCGGACCGCCCGCUAAGGUCCCCAAGUUCCAGCCGAGUGGCAAAGGAUGUGCGUCCGCCCAGACAACCAGGAUGUUGGCUUAGAAGCAGCCAUCCAUUCAAAGAGUGCGUAACAGCUCACUGGUCGAGUGGACAUGCGCCGACAAUACACGGGGCUAAGCUGGACACCGAAGCGGCGGGAUUUUGAUUUACAGAAUCGGUAGGGGAGCUUCCCAUGGGCGGAGAAGCCGGAGGGCGACCGACGGUGGAGCGCAUGGGAGUGAGAAUGCUGGCAUGAGUAGCGAGAGACGAGAGAGUAACUCGUCCGCCGUGAACCCGAGGUUUCCUGGGCAAGGCUAAUCCUCCCAGGGUCAGUCGGGGGCUAAGGCGAGGCCGGGAGGCGUAGCCGACGCGCAGCAGGCAGACAUUCCUGCACCGCGCACGCGGCGCUACGACCGACGGGGCGACGGAUGGGGGUGGCUCGGCGGGGUUCUGGACGUCCCCGUGAUGGAGCGCGGCCCGCGGACCAGGGAAAUCCGGUCCGCACGAGGGCGAGGCUCCGGACGAAGCGACUGAGCGAAGCGAGUGAGCCCGAGGUCCCUAGAAAAACCCCUAGGCAGGCGCGUGCGCGCCCGUACCGCAAACCGACACAGGUGGGUGGGUAGAACAUACCGAGGCGAUCGGGUCAACCAUGGUCAAGGAACUCGGCACAAUGGCCCCGUAACUUCGGGAGAAGGGGUGCCCGCGCGUACGUGAACGGACUUGCUCCGGGAGCGGAGGCGGGCCGCAGUGGAGAGGCCCAAGCGACUGUUUACCAAAAACACAGGACUCUGCAGAAGCCGCAAGGCGACGUAUAGGGUCUGACGCCUGCCCGGUGCCGGAAGGUCACGCGGAGGAGUUAGCCGAUCGCGCGAAGCCCCGAAGCCAAGCCCCGGUAAACGGCGGCCGUAACUAUAACGGUCCUAAGGUAGCGAAAUUCCUUGUCGGGUAAGUUCCGACCUGCACGAAAGGCGCAACGACUUGGGCGCUGUCUCGACCAUGGACCCGGUGAAAUUGCACUGGUCGUGAAGAUGCGACUUACCCGCGGAAGGACGGAAAGACCCCGUGAACCUUCACUGCAGCUUGGCAUUGGCCGCUGGUCCCGCGUGUAGAGGAUAGGCAGGAGGCUAAGAUCCGGAGGCGCCAGCCCCCGGGGAGCCGCCCUUGGAAUACUGCCCUCGCGCGACCGGCGUCCUAACCCGAGGCCGUCAACCGGCUCGGGGACCGUGCCAGGCGGGCAGUUUGACUGGGGCGGUCGCCUCCUAAAGGGUAACGGAGGCGCGCGAAGGUCCGCUCGGGACGGUCGGCAACCGUCCUUUUGAAUGCAAGAGUACAAGCGGGCUUGACUGCGAGGCCCACAAGCCGAGCAGGUGCGAAAGCAGGCUCUAGUGAUCCGGCGGCCCCGAGUGGGUGGGCCGUCGCUCAACGGAUAAAAGGUACUCCGGGGAUAACAGGC
RNAcentral lists this ribosomal RNA (1907 nucleotides) under human gut metagenome. RNAcentral's name for it is "bacterial LSU rRNA". It matches the Rfam family "Bacterial large subunit ribosomal RNA", at positions 592 to 2482 of the family's 2925-position model. The record is from RNAcentral.